This 450-nucleotide ribosomal RNA is filed under the name uncultured bacterium. RNAcentral's name for it is "partial 16S ribosomal RNA". It matches the Rfam family "Bacterial small subunit ribosomal RNA", at positions 338 to 795 of the family's 1533-position model. The record is from RNAcentral.
CCUACGGGUGGCUGCAGUGGGGAAUUUUGGACAAUGGGGGCAACCCUGAUCCAGCCAUGCCGCGUGCGGGAAGAAGGCCUUCGGGUUGUAAACCGCUUUCGGCCGGAACGAAAUCGCCGGGGAGAACAUCCCCGGUGGAUGACGGUACCGGAAGAAGAAGCACCGGCUAACUACGUGCCAGCAGCCGCGGUAAUACGUAGGGGACGAGCGUUGAUCGGAAUGGGUGGGGGUAAAGCGUGCGCAGGGGGGUGAAAGCCCCGGGCGUAACCUGGGAACUGCGUUUGAGACUGGCGGGCUGGAGUGCGGAAGAGGGAAGUGGAAUUCCACGUGUAGCAGUGAAAUGCGUAGAGAUGUGGAGGAACACCGAUGGCGAAGGCAGCCUCCUGGUCUAGCACUGACGCUCAUGCGCGAAAGCGUGGGGAGCAAACAGGAUUAGAUACCCCAGUAGUC